Molecule: non-coding RNA, 253 nt
Filed under: uncultured bacterium
Lineage: Bacteria
Also listed under: 1 other name
Description: partial 16S ribosomal RNA
Rfam family: Bacterial small subunit ribosomal RNA
Source: RNAcentral
UACAGAGGUCCCAAGCGUUGUUCGGAUUCACUGGGCGUAAAGGGUGCGUAGGCGGCCGAGUAAGUUCGAUGUGAAAUCCCGCAGCUCAACUGCGGAACUGCAUUGGAUACUAUUCGGCUCGAGGAAUGGAGGGGAGACUGGAAUUCUCGGUGUAGCAGUGAAAUGCGUAGAUAUCGAGAGGAACACCAGUGGCGAAGGCGAGUCUCUGGACAUUUCCUGACGCUCAGGCACGAAAGCCAGGGGAGCAAACGGG